Molecule: ribosomal RNA, 509 nt
Filed under: uncultured bacterium
Lineage: Bacteria
Description: bacterial SSU rRNA
Rfam family: Bacterial small subunit ribosomal RNA
Source: RNAcentral
AGAGAAUAGAUACCCGGGUAGUCCUUGCCGUAAACGAUGCAUACUAGAUGUAGUUGGGCUCAAACCCCGACUGUGUCGUAGCUAACGCGAUAAGUAUGCCGCCUGAGGAGUACACUCGCAAGGUGAAACUCAAAAGAAUUGACGGGGGCUCGCACAAGCAGUGGAGCAUGUGGUUUAAUUCGAUGCAACGCGAAGAACCUUACCUAGAUUUGACAUGUAGUGGAAGAUUCAUUGAAAGGUGAAUCGCUCUUCGGAGCUGCUACACAGGUGCUGCAUGGCUGUCGUCAGCUCGUGCUGUGAGGUGUUGGGUUAAGUCCCGCAACGAGCGCAACCCUUAUCGUUAGUUGCCAACACGUAAAGGUGGAACUCUAACGAGACUGCCCGGGUUAACCGGGAGGAAGGUGAGGAUGAUGUCAAGUCCGCAUGGCCUUUAUAUCUAGGGCUACACACGUGCUACAAUGGUCGUACAGAAGGCAGCAAGACCGCAAGGUGGAGCAAAUCCUAAAAAG